The sequence is a transfer RNA, 78 nucleotides long. It matches the Rfam family "tRNA". From Rfam's summary of the family: Transfer RNA (tRNA) molecules are approximately 80 nucleotides in length.
AGCCCCGUCGUCUAGUCUGGCCAAGGAUAGGAGGCUCUGGACCUCUAGACGUAGGUUCAAAUCCUACCGGGGCUACCA